GGGUGGGGGUGGGGGUGAGGGCGGUGUCUGAACUGAUUCUGGACGUCCCGGAAUCGUUUAAUCCCGGGAAUCGGGAGAUAACCGACACCCGGGAUGCCCGGUAGGACCUUAAGGAUAGGCCACCUUCAUCUUCCUGAUGGAUCCUAGUACAUACAAGCUGCUGCUUCGCUAUUGUGCAAGAUCUGCUGCUACCCAACCUCACCCACCACACCUCAGGCUAUGCUGGAGUGGAAACUAGAGCUCACAGAGGGUCCCUAACAAAGCAGUUUCCCUGGCCUCGGGUGUGUCGACAAUUAGAAAAGCUCAAGUCAGAAAAUCUGGUACUCACUGUACGUUGCUGCCACAGCACUGCUAUGAAGGCUUUGACCAUUAAGAUGUCCUGCAAGGAGAGAGACCUUCCCCUUGACCUCUGACCCUAAGAACGCCGAAGGCAUCCGGCGAGGCAGCGCAUGCGCCUGAGCGUACUGGCUUCCCGGCCCGCAGCUCGGGAAGGACGCACAAGCCGCGGGUCCCGAGCCGACCCACUAGAUCCCAGACUUCACGAGGCCAGCGGUGACACCCUGUUCAACCCUGUCGUCGCGUCACCCAGAUCCUGUCUUCAUUGCCUUGCCCUGGACACCCACCUUGAAGUGCGGCGGCUCCUUCCCUGGCCCAGGUGCGAGUCAACCGGAAGGCGGAGCCUAAGUUUAGGAUGCUGCCAUUGGGCGAGCUUCUCACGCCUUUUUCUUCAGUGCCCUUUCCUUCUUUGGUCUGAUUGGCCUGUGGUUCUGCAGGAGGCGGGCUCAGGACUAUAUUUUCCUCUAAUUGGCUGAUGGGAGCAGAUGCUUGAAGUUUUGUAGGGAGCUGCCAUAUUGUAUCGGAGGUUAAUAUGCCUGACUUCCGAGAUGCUGAAGGCGGGACUUCCUGAGCUCGGUUCUGGACGUUGGUAAAGUCCCGGGAGACGGGAGGGGUGGGGCUCAUUUGAAUACUGCCAAGAUGGCGGCAGCUCGUAAGCGCUUUAA
Mastomys coucha (southern multimammate mouse) is the source of this 1001-nucleotide long non-coding RNA. RefSeq lists it as uncharacterized. The record is from RefSeq and is a predicted model, not a curated record. Lineage: Eukaryota; Metazoa; Chordata; Mammalia; Rodentia; Muridae. The transcript is spliced from 3 exons.